Molecule: non-coding RNA, 105 nt
Filed under: Virgibacillus necropolis
Lineage: Bacteria; Bacillati; Bacillota; Bacilli; Caryophanales; Bacillaceae
Description: Glycine sequence
Rfam family: Glycine riboswitch aptamer
About the family: This family represents the bacterial glycine riboswitch.
Source: Rfam by way of RNAcentral
AUGACCUUUGUGGGAGAGUUCGGAUUUAUUCCGUCACCGAAGGAGCAAAUUCCCAAAAAUAACCUUGGGCGUUAAUCUCUCAGGUCCAAAGACCACAAUGGGAAG